UACUGAAUUGUUAAGAAAGUAACAGGUGGCA
RNAcentral lists this non-coding RNA (31 nucleotides) under Mus musculus (house mouse). Lineage: Eukaryota; Metazoa; Chordata; Mammalia; Rodentia; Muridae. The record is from RNAcentral.